Molecule: ribosomal RNA, 252 nt
Filed under: uncultured bacterium
Lineage: Bacteria
Description: partial 16S ribosomal RNA
Rfam family: Bacterial small subunit ribosomal RNA
Source: RNAcentral
UACGUAGGGUGCGAGCGUUGUCCGGAAUUAUUAGGCGUAAAGGGCUCGUAGGCGGUUUGUCGCGUCGGGAGUGAAAACACGGGGCUUAACCCCGUGCCUGCUUCCGAUACGGGCAGACUAGAGGUAUGCAGGGGAGAACGGAAUUCCUGGUGUAGCGGUGAAAUGCGCAGAUAUCAGGAGGAACACCGGUGGCGAAGGCGGUUCUCUGGGCAUUACCUGACGCUGAGGAGCGAAAGUGUGGGAGCGAACAGG